GACGGAGGCCCCGAGCGUUAGUCGGAAUUACUGGGCUUAAAGGGUGCGUAGGCGGGCGUGCGCGUGCUCUGUGAAAUCCCCGGGCUCAACCCGGGAACCGCAGGGCAUACGGCACGUCUCGAGGAAGCUAGAGGCCGGCGGAACGAUCGGUGGAGCGGUGGAAUGCGUAGAGAUCGAUCGGAACGCCAAGGGUGAAGACAGCCGGCUGGGGCUUUCCUGACGCUGAGGCACGAAAGCGCGGGGAUCAAACAGG
RNAcentral lists this ribosomal RNA (253 nucleotides) under uncultured bacterium. Its description in RNAcentral is "partial 16S ribosomal RNA". It matches the Rfam family "Bacterial small subunit ribosomal RNA", at positions 524 to 776 of the family's 1533-position model. The record is from RNAcentral.